RNAcentral lists this ribosomal RNA (541 nucleotides) under uncultured bacterium. Its description in RNAcentral is "bacterial SSU rRNA". It matches the Rfam family "Bacterial small subunit ribosomal RNA", at positions 777 to 1314 of the family's 1533-position model. The record is from RNAcentral.
AAUAGAUACCCGGGUAGUCCACGCCGUAAACGAUGAGUGCUAGGUGUUAGGGGGGUUUCCGCCCCUUAGUGCUGCAGCUAACGCAUUAAGCACUCCGCCUGGGGAGUACGGUCGCAAGACUGAAACUCAAAGGAAUUGACGGGGGCCCGCACAAGCGGUGGAGCAUGUGGUUUAAUUCGAAGCAACGCGAAGAACCUUACCAGGUCUUGACAUCCCGCUGACCGCCAUGGAGACAUGGCCUUCCCUUCGGGGACAGCGGUGACAGGUGGUGCAUGGUUGUCGUCAGCUCGUGUCGUGAGAUGUUGGGUUAAGUCCCGCAACGAGCGCAACCCUUGUCCUUAGUUGCCAUCAUUCAGUUGGGCACUCUAAGGAGACUGCCGUACAAAUACGGAGGAAGGUGGGGAUGACGUCAAAUCAUCAUGCCCCUUAUGACCUGGGCUACACACGUGCUACAAUGGGUGGUACAAAGGGCAGCGAACCCGCGAGGGGGGAGCGAAUCCCAAAAAGCCACUCUCAGUUCGGAUUGCAGGCUGCAACUCCG